GGGGAAUUUUGGACAAUGGGGGAAACCCUGAUCCAGCCAUGCCGCGUGCGGGAUGAAGGCCUUCGGGUUGUAAACCGCUUUUGUCAGAGACGAAAGGGGACGCACGAAUAAUACGUUCCGCUGACGGUAUCUGAAGAAUAAGCACCGGCUAACUACGUGCCAGCAGCCGCGGUAAUACGUAGGGUGCAAGCGUUAAUCGGAAUUACUGGGCGUAAAGGGUGCGCAGGCGGCUGUGCAAGACAGAUGUGAAAUCCCCGGGCUUAACCUGGGAACUGCAUUUGUGACUGCACGGCUAGAGUUUGUCAGAGGAGGGUGGAAUUCCGCGUGUAGCAGUGAAAUGCGUAGAUAUGCGGAAGAACACCAAUGGCGAAGGCGGCUUUCUGGACUGUAACUGACGCUGAGGCAUGAAAGCGUGGGGAGCAAAC
Molecule: ribosomal RNA, 425 nt
Filed under: uncultured bacterium
Lineage: Bacteria
Description: bacterial SSU rRNA
Rfam family: Bacterial small subunit ribosomal RNA
Source: RNAcentral